This 252-nucleotide ribosomal RNA is filed under the name uncultured Bacteroidales bacterium. RNAcentral's name for it is "partial 16S ribosomal RNA". It matches the Rfam family "Bacterial small subunit ribosomal RNA", at positions 524 to 776 of the family's 1533-position model. Lineage: Bacteria; Pseudomonadati; Bacteroidota; Bacteroidia; Bacteroidales. The record is from RNAcentral.
UACGUAGGGGGCAAGCGUUAUCCGGAUUUAUUGGGUUUAAAGGGUGCGCAGGCGGAAUGUCAAGUCAGCGGUAAAAUUUCGGGGCUCAACCCCGUCGUGCCGUUUGAACUGGCGCGCUUGAGUUCAGGCGAGGUAGGCGGAAUUCGUGGUGUAGCGGUGAAAUGCAUAGAUAUCACGAAGAACUCCGAUUGCGAAGGCAGCUUACCAGUCUGCGACUGACGCUCAGGCACGAAAGUGUGGGUAUCGAACAGG